This 403-nucleotide ribosomal RNA is filed under the name uncultured bacterium. RNAcentral's name for it is "partial 16S ribosomal RNA". It matches the Rfam family "Bacterial small subunit ribosomal RNA", at positions 28 to 526 of the family's 1533-position model. The record is from RNAcentral.
GACGAACGCUGGCGGAGUGCCUAAUACAUGCAAGUCGAAAGCAGUGGGGACGGGUGAGUAACACGUGGGUAACCUACCAUCAGAGGGGAUAACACUUGGAAACAGGUGCUAAACCGAUACUGAUGGAUGGACACGCGGUGCAGUAACUCGUUGGUGAGGUAACGGGUAACCAAGGCCACGAUGCGUAGCCGACCUUAGAGUGUGUGCGGCCCCACGUGGACUGAGACUCGUGCCAGACUCCUACGGGAAGCAGCAGUAGGAAAUUGUCGUCAAUGGACGAAAGUCUGACAGAGCAACACCGCGUGAGUGAAGAAGGUUUUCGGAUCGUAAAACUCUGUUGUUAGAGAAACUGUAUCUAACCAAGAAGCCACGGCAAACUACGUGCCAGCCGCCGCGGUAAUUC